Molecule: ribosomal RNA, 545 nt
Filed under: environmental clone CC-5
Lineage: Bacteria
Description: bacterial SSU rRNA
Rfam family: Bacterial small subunit ribosomal RNA
Source: RNAcentral
UUGAACGCUGGCGGUAUGCUUAAGACAUGCAAGUCGAACGGAAUCUUCGGAUUCAGUGGCGGACGGGUGAGUAACACGUGGGAAUCUACUGAGUAGUGGGGGACAGCCCGGCGAAAGCCGGAUUAAUACCGCAUACGCCCUACGGGGGAAAGGCGCAAGCCGCUAUUCAAUGAGCCCGCGUAAGAUUAGCUAGUUGGUAAGGUAAAGGCUUACCAAGGCGACGAUCUUUAGCUGGUCUGAGAGGAUGGCCAGCCACAUCGGGACUGAGACACGGCCCGGACUCCUACGGGAGGCAGCAGUCGGGAAUAUUGGACAAUGGGCGCAAGCCUGAUCCAGCAAUACCGCGUGUGUGAAGAAGGCCUGCGGGUUGUAAAGCACUUUCAGUUGGGAAGAUAAUGACGUUACCAACAGAAGAAGCACCGGCUAACUCCGUGCCAGCAGCCGCGGUAAUACNNGAGGGUGCAAGCGUUAAUCGGAAUUACUGGGCGUAAAGCGUGCGUAGGCGGUUUAUUAAGUCAGAUGUGAAAUCCCGGGCUCAACCUGGG